This 733-nucleotide long non-coding RNA is filed under the name Phascolarctos cinereus (koala). RNAcentral describes it as "lncRNA (ENSPCIG00000000284.2)". Lineage: Eukaryota; Metazoa; Chordata; Mammalia; Diprotodontia; Phascolarctidae. The record is from RNAcentral.
GUCAAGAUGAAAAACUUCAUCUAAUGGAAUCCAGCUUGAAAGCAACUCAAGAGCAGCUAACUGAGCAAAGAGCAGCAAUAGUUCGUCAAGAACAGAACAGCACAAAAUCACAGGCAGAGCUGAAGACAGUGAGAGAACGUAUUAUUGCUUCUGCAGAAGAAAUUAAUGAUUACAACUCAAAGGUUGAAUUUAUGAAAAAUAUUAAUGAAAUUAUGGGAGGACAGAGCCAACUUAAGAAUGGGGUGCAUUGGAUACCUUACCUCUAUAGAAAAUACAAUUCAGAAGUCAAAAUCAGAAAACAAAAACAUUUAGCGCAAGAUAAUUUCAUAGAGAGAACAGAUAAGGUGGCAUAGCUGAGAAUUUGUUCUUUCUUCAGAUCAUUGGAAGAAAAGCAAGGUCAUCAAAGAAAAUACCUACAUUUAGAACAUGGGAAACUGGAAAAAUUGUACUGUUACUUGAAGAAAUAAUUAAGUAAGAAUGAACACCAAGUUUUGGAGUAAAGACAGCAAGUAAAUUUGUAUAUGUUGGUUUUUAGUUGCUGAUGGGUCAUCUUGGCAGGGAUAACCUUGACACAGAGCAACUUCAGUAAAAUCUUGAGGUUACCUAUAUUGUUAGGCUAAGACUGGUAAAUAUCCUUAAUUUUAUGUAUGACUUGGUUAUAUCAUAUAUAAUUUGUAUUAGUCAUUUUAAAGAUCUUUUCUCAUUUUUAGCUUAUAAUACUUGUUCAUUUUAG